RNAcentral lists this ribosomal RNA (157 nucleotides) under Phyllachora sp. RNAcentral's name for it is "5.8S ribosomal RNA". It matches the Rfam family "5.8S ribosomal RNA". Rfam says of the family: 5.8S ribosomal RNA (5.8S rRNA) is a component of the large subunit of the eukaryotic ribosome. It is transcribed by RNA polymerase I as part of the 45S precursor that also contains 18S and 28S rRNA. Functionally, it is thought that 5.8S rRNA may be involved in ribosome translocation. Lineage: Eukaryota; Fungi; Ascomycota; Sordariomycetes; Phyllachorales; Phyllachoraceae. The record is from RNAcentral.
CAACUUUCAACAAUGGAUCUCUUGGCUCUGGCAUCGAUGAAGAACGCAGCGAAAUGCGAUACGUAAUGCGAAUUGCAGAUCUCAGUGAGUCAUCGAAUCUUUGAACGCAUACUGCGCCCGCCAGCAUUCUGGUGGGCAUGUCUGUCCGAGCGCUACU